UACAGAGGGUGCAAGCGUUGUUCGGAAUCAUUGGGCGUAAAGCGCACGUAGGCGGUUCGGUAAGUCGGGUGUGAAAGCCCCGGGCUCAACCCGGGAAGGGCACUCGAAACUGGCGAGCUUGAGUACGGAAGAGGGUCUCGGAAUUCCCGGUGUAGAGGUGAAAUUCGUAGAUAUCGGGAGGAACACCAGUGGCGAAGGCGGAGACCUGGGCCGAUACUGACGCUGAGGUGCGAAAGCGUGGGGAGCAAACAGG
This 253-nucleotide ribosomal RNA is filed under the name uncultured prokaryote. Its description in RNAcentral is "partial 16S ribosomal RNA". It matches the Rfam family "Bacterial small subunit ribosomal RNA", at positions 524 to 776 of the family's 1533-position model. The record is from RNAcentral.